This 468-nucleotide ribosomal RNA is filed under the name uncultured bacterium. RNAcentral's name for it is "partial 16S ribosomal RNA". It matches the Rfam family "Bacterial small subunit ribosomal RNA", at positions 28 to 507 of the family's 1533-position model. The record is from RNAcentral.
GACGAACGCUGGCGGCGUGCUUAACACAUGCAAGUCGAACGGAAAGGCCCUGCUUUUGUGGGGUGCUCGAGUGGCGAACGGGUGAGUAACACGUGAGUAACCUGCCCUUGACUUUGGGAUAACUUCAGGAAACUGGGGCUAAUACCGGAUAGGAGCUCCUGCUGCAUGGUGGGGGUUGGAUAGUUUCGGCGGUUGGGGAUGGACUCGCGGCUUAUCAGCUUGUUGGUGGGGUAGUGGCUUACCAAGGCUUUGACGGGUAGCCGGCCUGAGAGGGUGACCGGCCACAUUGGGACUGAGAUGCGACCCAGACCCCUACGGGACGCAGCAGUGGGGAAUAUUGCACAAUGGGCGGAAGCCUGAUGCAGCAACGCCGCGUGCGGGAUGACGGCCUUCGGGUUGUAAACCGCUUUCGCCUGUGACGAAGCGUGAGUGACGGUAAUGGGUAAAGAAGCACCGGCUAACUACGUG